UACAGAGGUCUCAAGCGUUGUUCGGAUUCAUUGGGCGUAAAGGGUGCGUAGGCGGCGCGGUAAGUCGGGUGUGAAAUCUCGGAGCUUAACUCCGAAACUGCAUUCGAUACUGCCGAGCUUGGGGACUGGAGAGGAGACUGGAAUUUACGGUGUAGCGGUGAAAUGCGUAGAUAUCGUAAGGAAGGCCAGUGGCGAAGGCGGGUCUCUGGACAGUUCCUGACGCUGAGGCACGAAGGCCAGGGGAGCAAACGGG
This 253-nucleotide ribosomal RNA is filed under the name uncultured bacterium. Its description in RNAcentral is "partial 16S ribosomal RNA". It matches the Rfam family "Bacterial small subunit ribosomal RNA", at positions 524 to 776 of the family's 1533-position model. The record is from RNAcentral.